This 212-nucleotide long non-coding RNA is filed under the name Elaeis guineensis (African oil palm). Its description in RNAcentral is "long non-coding RNA (EGUI_LNC007794)". The record is from RNAcentral. Lineage: Eukaryota; Viridiplantae; Streptophyta; Magnoliopsida; Arecales; Arecaceae.
UGGCCAGACAAGUGAUCUCGUCGCCAUUGUUCUAAGCCCACUUGUUUUGGUAGAUGGACAACAAAAUUAAAAACAUAUUAUUUUAAUUCAGCCAUAGAAAGCCAUAUUUGCAUGCAUUGCUUAGUAGGGUGGAAUCUAAUUAAUUUAUGGGCUAAAAGAGGAUAUAAUUAUAUCUAUCUUCUUCUCUGUGGACUGCACUAAUCCAUCACGUA